UUUGUUUAGAGAUUGUUAAUUGAUAUUCAUGAAAUGGUCUGGUUUUAGCCCUGCCAUAGGCAUGGAGAGGACCUCAGUUACCUUGACAGCCCUGUUUCUACCAGACACCUUUGGUGUCUCUGAUCACUAGGGAAUGCUUUUGGAGCUUAGCGUAACCGUCACCAUCGCAAAUGGAGCUGAGUCAGAAGGUUGUGAUCCCUGAUCUCAGUUCUUGUCAAAGACCAUCAGUAAUCCUGAGCACUGAAAUUUUAAAACUGCUUCGAUUAUUAUGUCCUGUGG
RNAcentral lists this long non-coding RNA (279 nucleotides) under Bos taurus (domestic cattle). RNAcentral's name for it is "long non-coding RNA NONBTAT017482". The record is from RNAcentral. Lineage: Eukaryota; Metazoa; Chordata; Mammalia; Artiodactyla; Bovidae.